GAUGAAGAACGUAGCGAAAUGCGAUAAGUAGUGUGAAUUGCAGAAUUCAGUGAAUCAUCGAAUCUUUGAACGCACAUUGCGCCCCUUGGUAUUCCAUGGGGCAUGCCUGUUCGAGCGUCAUUUGUACCUUCAAGCUCUGCUUGGUGUUGGGUGUUUGUCCUUGCUCCUAUGGGGUAGGACUCGCCUUAAAGUAAUUGGCAGCCAGUGUUUUGGUUUGAAGCGCAGCACAAGUCGCGAUUCAAGCUUAAUCAGUAGCUUUCCAUCAAGGCAUCUAUCACUUUUGACCUCGGAUCAGGUAGGGAUACCCGCUGAACUUAAGCAUAUCCAAUAAGCGGAGGA
This 339-nucleotide unclassified non-coding RNA is filed under the name soil metagenome. RNAcentral describes it as "partial contains 5.8S ribosomal RNA, internal transcribed spacer 2, and large subunit ribosomal RNA". The stretch from base 1 to 120 matches the Rfam family "5.8S ribosomal RNA", at positions 35 to 154 of the family's 154-position model. The record is from RNAcentral.